AUUUUUGUUUGCUGGGAUGUUUCAGGAGCUCUGGGGAGCCCCAGGCAGGUGUGGGGAGAGUGCCUGGGGUGCCAGCAGGACUGAAGUGGCAGAGUUUGGGGAUAAUGUGCUUAGGUUCAGAGAAACCAAGUCCUGGGUUCAAGACUCUUGAGUGGGAGGGGAGAGUCUGCAGACAGGGGCCAUUAUGCUGCCCCACGGGGACACAUGUGGGCACAUUAUUUGCCAUCUGGGAGUGUACACAGGUCCUCUCCUAUUUCCUGACCCUGUCUUAUCCAACUGCAGAGAAUGGGUGUCCUGGGUGACCCAGAGAGAAGUGCUGUCUGGCCAAGCACCUGGUCAAUCUGACUCCAGGGCCUGGCCCACGCAGGGACCUUGACACCAUCAGGGGUCUUAGUUGCAAACCUUGGAGACUCUAUGCACUGAUAGGGCUAGCUCAGAGGCUCUUCAGGAGGCCUGGAGGAAAUGGGGACAAAGCAGGAAAAGCCACAGCCAGGACCACAGCCAAAAACCACACCCCAGCCCAGGCUGGUGCGGAGUCCCCUGGUGCUGCCAUGGAGCUGUGGGUGCGCCUUUGCAUAGCCACCGCUCACCUCGAGCAGGCUGCCACUGGUGGGGCUGACCCUGACCAGAUCCUCCACGCUGUGGUGUGCUGCUGCAAAGGAGAAUGGGAAACCCUAGGGGUGGAGAAACCCUGAGGGGAAGUGUGAGCCCCACCCCUCCAGACAUUCAUCAGGGUCAGGGCCUCUGGGACUUAGAGGAAAAACAAAAUGCUGCUCACAGGAUCAUGGCAGGGGGUGAGGGCCCCCGUCCAGUAAGG
RNAcentral lists this long non-coding RNA (817 nucleotides) under Homo sapiens (human). Its description in RNAcentral is "HSALNT0060080". Lineage: Eukaryota; Metazoa; Chordata; Mammalia; Primates; Hominidae. The record is from RNAcentral.